UAGCGCACAUCAUACGACGUACCACUUCCUCUGUGAGCCUUGAGUGAGCCCUGGUAGAAGAUACAAAGGCACUUCCUAUUUGAAAGGAUAUAUCUACGACUCAGAAUGACUGACGCGAGUUCCAUGAGUUCUUUGAGUGGAGUAGAGUCGGCGAGCGAGAUGUCGCAAAGCACGGUCGGAGCUGCAGGAGCAGGUAAC
Molecule: long non-coding RNA, 198 nt
Organism: Ornithodoros turicata
Lineage: Eukaryota; Metazoa; Arthropoda; Arachnida; Ixodida; Argasidae
Exons: 3
Source: RefSeq, a predicted model, not a curated record